Molecule: RNA transcript, 3992 nt
Organism: Eriocheir sinensis (Chinese mitten crab)
Lineage: Eukaryota; Metazoa; Arthropoda; Malacostraca; Decapoda; Varunidae
Exons: 4
Source: RefSeq, a predicted model, not a curated record
UGUGACAUCAGUAUCAAGAUCAAGCUCAAUACAGGAUCGCAUCAGGAAGACCGCCCUGUAGGCAAGACUUCCGACAUCCAACUCAACUGAGCUGAGCGGCGGCCGCGGGACACUGAAUUACCUGCCGCACGCCGGGGACACGCAGGCAGGUCUGUCAGGCCAUCAAGCCCCUCAACACCACCACCACCACCACCACCACCACCAGCGUCAUGGAGGCUGCAGGGAGGGGCAGCAGGAUGGCAGGAGGGAGACAGGUGGUGAAGAACAUGAACACUGGCGGCAGCCCUGAGGAGUGUCCAGUGUGCCUGACAGGCUAUGAUGGCACCGUGCAGCGGCCGCGCAACCUGCCCUGUGGCCACACUGUCUGCACACUGUGCAUAGACCAGCUGGAGGAGCAGGGCCGUGUUGCCUGCCCAGAGUGCCGCGUCAACCAUGCUUUGCCCGAGGGAGGACAGUUCCCUGUCAGCUAUGCUGUUGAGGCCUUUGUGAUGAGAGACGCUGAGGUGGCAGCAGCAGCAGCAGCCUUGCCGCCACCCAGUGCCGGGGAAGGAGCAGCAGCAGCAGCAGCAGCCUCGCCGCCACCCAGCACCGGGGAAGCAGCAGCCUCGCCACCACCCAGUGCCGGGGAAGGAGCACCAUCAGGGGUGGCUGGCAAGAAGGAGGCGGCGGGUCUCUCCAAGAAAAUGCGUUCCUUCCUGCAGGAACAGGAGGCCACAGUUGUGGCCGCCAUCACCGCCUGCCGGGAGGCUCAGUCGCAGCUGGACCAGUACCAGACGACCCUGGCAGGCUGGGGCAAGCGGCAGCAGCAGCUGGAGGACAGGCUCGUGGGACUGGUGGACCAGAGCAGGAGUGCCAGGGAGCUCCUGCAGCAGGAAGAGUCCCGUGUGGCGGCCAAGGAGGAGGAGCUGAAGAAGGAGGAGCAGGGGCUGCAGGCCGUGCUGGAGACGUUGCGCACCCUUGCAACAGAACAAGAAGUGGGCGCGGCGGUGACUGAAAUGGUUCGUUGCACUGGCGAGGCAGAGCAGGCGGUGGAGGAGUGCCGAGAAGGUUUUCCUGAUGCCAGCACCGUCACCACCGCCAGGAAGGUGAACGUGGCAUCUAGUGCAGCCCUGGAGGCUGUCCAGGCAGCUCUGGAAACACUUGCUACAGAGGAGCCCAGGCCCCAGGCAGACCCAGACUCCACCGUCAUGGACAGACUGCACCUCAUCUGGACAGGGAGCUUGACGGCCGAGGACCUCCGCAGCCUGACGCAGCCCGCCAGGCGCCUGCUGGAGGCUGGCCGGGUGCUUGCUGUCCACCAGGCGGAAGGUCAGCGCCGACACGCAAGAAUAAGCCUUGAAGCCGGCCAGCUGUGCCUCCACGCCCUGAAGGACCAUCCCCCGCCACUGGGCGCGGCAACCCUGCAGGUGAGCGAGGUUGUGCCGCCCUCCCCCCCCUGCACGGUGUUCCUGGACCUGUCCUGGCCGGGCAGCGCGCCGCGGCGGGUACAAAUCCGUCUGAGCCCCGACACCCCUCGGGGCAGACAGUUGUUACUGUUGUGCACGGGGCAGCGCGGCCCCUCCUACGUUGGCACCAGGUUGCAUGGAGUAGAGAGCAAGGCGGAGGCGGGAGAGUAUGUGAAGGGCGGGGACUAUGAGAGUAACAAUGGUGGAGGGUCAUCCGUCCUGCUGCCUGGCCUUGAUGAGGGUGAGUACCGAAAGUCAGGCCGGGCGGGGGAUGUGUUUGGGCUGGUGUGGACUGACCGUACCCGGGGUGAGUGUGGUAACUUUGGCAUCCACACCAGAGACUGUAAGGAUGGUGGUGAGGCAUCUCAUGUCUUCGGUGAGGUGGUGGACGGACUGCACGUGGUGGCCGAGGCAGCCCAACACAGGGACAUUAAGGAGGUGACUGUGGCGGACUGUGGCGUGGUGCUGUGAGGGUAAUGGCCACCACCACCACCACCACCACCACCACAGCAAGGUUAUGGAGGUGACUGUGGUGUGGUGUUGUGAGGGUAAUGGCCACCACCACCACCACCACCACAGCAAGGUUAUGGAGGUGACUGUGGUGUGGUGUUGUGAGGGUAAUGGCCACCACCACCACCACCACCACCACCACAGCAAGGUUAUGGAGGUGAGUGUGGCGUGGUGUUGUGAGGGUAAUGGCCACCACCACCACCACCACCACCACAGCAAGGUUAUGGAGGUGACUGUGGUGUGGUGUUGUGAGGGUAAUGGCCACCACCACCACCACCACCACAGCAAGGUUAUGGAGGUGACUGUGGUGUGGUGUUGUGAGGGUAAUGGCCACCACCACCACCACCACCACAGCAAGGUUAUGGAGGUGACUGUGGUGUGGUGUUGUGAGGGUAAUGGCCACCACCACCACCACAGCAAGGUUAUGGAGGUGACUGUGGUGGUUCUUUAUUUUUUGUAACAUCCAGGGUGAUGAUUUGUGCAUUACAUAAACACUUGAUAAUAUAAUCUCUUAUUUCUUGCUGCAUUCCUGUAACAUCCAGGGUGAUGAUUUGUGCAUUACAUAAACACUUGAUAAUAUAAUCUCUUAUUUCCUGCUGCAUUCCUGUAACAUCCAGGGUGAUAUUUUGUGCAUUACAUAAACACUUGAUAAUAUAAUCUCUUAUUUCCUGCUGCAUUCCUGUAACAUCCAGGGUGAUAUUUUGUGCAUUACAUAAACACUUGAUAAUAUAAUCUCUUAUUUCUUGCUGCAUUCCUGUAACAUCCAGGGUGAUAUUUUGUGCAUUACAUAAACACUUGAUAAUAUAAUCUCUUAUUUCUUGCUGCAUUCCUGUAACAUCCAGGGUGAUAUUUUGUGCAUUACAUAAACACUUGAUAAUAUAAUCUCUUAUUUCUUGCUGCAUUCCUGUAACAUCCAGGGUGAUAUUUUGUGCAUUACAUAAACACUUGAUAAUAUAAUCUCUUAUUUCUUGCUGCAUUCCUGUAACAUCCAGGGUGAUGAUUUGUGCAUUACAUAAACACUUGAUAAUAUAAUCUCUUAUUUCUUGCUGCAUUCCUGUAACAUCCAGGGUGAUAUUUUGUGCAUUACAUAAACACUUGAUAAUAUAAUCUCUUAUUUCUUGCUGCAUUCCUGUAACAUCCAGGGUGAUAUUUUGUGCAUUACAUAAACACUUGAUAAUAUAAUCUCUUAUUUCUUGCUGCAUUCCUGUAACAUCCAGGGUGAUAUUUUGUGCAUUACAUAAACACUUGAUAAUAUAAUCUCUUAUUUCUCGAUGCAUUCCUGUAACAUCCGUAUUAUGUGCAUUACAUGAACACUUGAUAUAAUCUCUUAUUUUUCACUGCAUUCUUGUAACAUCCGGGGCGAUACUCUGCAUGAUGUUUUGUGCAUUACAUAAAUACUGGAUGUAAUGUGAUAGUUUCUUGGGGCAUCCUUGUAACAUGUUUUGUGCAUUACAUAAAUACUGGAUGUAAUGUGAUAGUUUCUUGGGGCAUCCUUGUAACAUGUUUUGUGCAUUACAUAAAUACUGGAUGUAAUGUGAUAGUUUCUUGGGACAUCCUUGUAACAUGUUUUGUGCAUUGCAUAAAUACUGGAUGUAAUGUGUUAGUUUCUUGGGGCAUCCUUGUAACAUGUUUUGUGCAUUACAUAAAUACUGGAUGUAAUGUGAUAGUUUCUUGGGGCAUCCUUGUAACAUGUUUUGUGCAUUGCAUAAAUACUGGAUGUAAUGUGUUAGUUUCUUGGGGCAUCCUUGUAACAUGUUUUGUGCAUUACAUAAAUACUGGAUGUAAUGUGAUAGUUUCUUGGGACAUCCUUGUAACAUGUUUUGUGCAUUGCAUAAAUACUGGAUGUAAUGUGAUAGUUUCUUGGGGCAUCCUUGUAACAUGUUUUGUGCAUUACAUAAAUACUGGAUGUAAUGUGAUAGUUUCUUGGGGCAUCCUUGUAACAUGUUUUGUGCAUUACAUAAAUACUGGAUGUAAUGUGAUAGUUUCUUGGGGCAUCCUUGUAACAUGUUUUGUGCAUUACAUAAAUACUGGAUGUAA